AAAAUAUUAAUUGAUGUAUUGAAAAAAAACUACACACCUUCAUCUCAUAUCUUGUUCAAGUUUUGGUAAAUAUUUCUAUCGGUAUGUUGCAAUUUCAAUGCGAAACAGAACUUGCCUAAUCAUGAUGCCGCAUUUUCCGCUGUCAUUUUUAUUGAAAUGGAUAUAAUUCUUUAUAAGGAAUCGAAUGGUGUUACUUAGUAUCAAUCUGCGGAAAGUUAAGGUUCGGAAUUCCGAACGAAACAUUUUUGGGAGAGUAACGAUUUUACGAAAAUUUAAUCAAAAUACAUGCCAUGUAAUGAAUAUUCGCUCAUGAAUUGUUAUAUUUUCACCUUUCGGUCCUUCAUUUUAAUGGAUAAAAAUGAUAUUUUAAUGUAUGAAA
Molecule: long non-coding RNA, 379 nt
Organism: Coccinella septempunctata (seven-spotted ladybird)
Lineage: Eukaryota; Metazoa; Arthropoda; Insecta; Coleoptera; Coccinellidae
Exons: 2
Source: RefSeq, a predicted model, not a curated record